GAUGAACGCUGGCGGCGUGCCUAAUACAUGCAAGUCGAGCGAACAGACGAGGAGCUUGCUCCUCUGACGUUAGCGGCGGACGGGUGAGUAACACGUGGAUAACCUACCUAUAAGACUGGGAUAACUUCGGGAAACCGGAGCUAAUACCGGAUAAUAUAUUGAACCGCAUAGUUCAAUAGUGAAAGACGGUUUUGCUGUCACUUAUAGAUGGAUCCGCGCCGCAUUAGCUAGUUGGUAAGGUAACGGCUUACCAAGGCGACGAUGCGUAGCCGACCUGAGAGGGUGAUCGGCCACACUGGAACUGAGACACGGUCCAGACUCCUACGGGAGGCAGCAGUAGGGAAUCUUCCGCAAUGGGCGAAAGCUUGACGGAGCAACGCCGCGUGAGUGAUGAAGGUCUUCGGAUCGUAAAACUCUGUUAUUAGGGAAGAACAAAUGUGUAAGUAACUAUGCACGUCUUGACGGUACCUAAUCAGAAAGCCACGGCUAACUACGUG
RNAcentral lists this ribosomal RNA (497 nucleotides) under uncultured bacterium. Its description in RNAcentral is "partial 16S ribosomal RNA". It matches the Rfam family "Bacterial small subunit ribosomal RNA", at positions 28 to 507 of the family's 1533-position model. The record is from RNAcentral.